UCCCCCCUUGGCCGCCGCCCCCCUGCCCAUCUCCUCCUCUCUCAAUUCUUGCAGCCACCAAACCCUAGCCGCCCCCCCUCUCAAUCCCCUCCUCCCAAGGUGCCAAUCCUUGCCGCUCGGAUCAUCGUCGUCGUGGUGCGAGUCUUCAAUCGUUUUGGUGGAGGGAAGAAGGGAGGAAGGAAAGGGGGAGAAUCCAAGGUGAUUUUUGUGUUCAUCCCUUGUUCAUUUGCGCUGCAAUUUAAUUGAUUAAAGGUUGCGUUUGCGAUUGGGUAGAGGGGGCUGUCCAGAAUUUUAGGUGGUGGGUGAACAGCAGUAGUCUAGCAGUUUCUGUGUUUUUUUCGUGAGGAAUUAAGGGAAAUCAGUUUGGGGAUCAUGUAGAACUUUACCUUACCUUUCCAACGAGUAUUUAUGCGCCCAAUUUGGAGUUAUAAAUUGAAAGUUAUCACCGUUUGAAUCCGGGUAUGUGGCUGUCCAAAAAAACAGAUUUUCAGGGGGGAUGAACAGCAGCAGUAUUAGCAGUUUCUGGGGAUUUUUUCGGGAGUAAUUAGUGUUAAUCAGUAUGAGAAUCAUGUAGGGCUUUAUGUUAUCUUUCCAACAAGUACUUAUGCGCUCGAUUCGGAGUUAUAAUUCAGGAGAUAUCGUUGUUUGAAUCCGGUUAUGUUGCUGUCCAAAAAAACAGAUUUUUCAGGUGGGUGAACAGCAGUGGUAUUAGCAGUUUCUGGGGAUUUUUUCGGGAGUAAUUAGUGUUAAUAAGUAUGAGAAUCAUAUAGGGCUUUAUGUUAUCUUUCCAACAAGUACUUAUGCGCUCGAUUCGGAGUUAUAAUUCAGGAGAUAUCGUUGUUUGAAUCCGGUUAUGUUGCUGUCCAAAAAAACAGAUUUUUCAGGUGGGUGAACAGCAGUGGUAUUAGCAGUUUCUGGGGAUUUUUCGUGGGUAAUUAGUGUUAACCAGUAUGGUAAUCAUGUAGGGAUUUGUCUUAUCUUUCCAAUGAGUACUUAUGCGCUUGAUUUGGAAUUAUAUUUUAAAAGAUAUCGCUGUUUGAAUCUGGGUAUGUCGCUGUCCAAAAGACAAAGAAAAACAGAUUACAGGGUUCAUCUUGUGGACUGUUUUGGACUAAUUAGAUAUUGGAAUUUAAUUAUAAAUUGUAUACAAAACUUGUGGGGAAUUUUAUGUAGAUGCCUCUGGAGUUUUUGUUUGUUACCACUGCUGUCAUAAUUUUAAAGUUAUGAAAUUAUUAAGCAGCGCCGCUGCAGUUUGGUGGGUGUAAGGAGAGAUGUAACCCGCGGCGGGGUUUGAGUUUGUGCGUAGAUGCGGCGUCGCUUAUGAGCCUGAUUAUGUGAUAUUGGUGUACUAAGUUAGGUGUCAAAAACAGGUGGUGGACUUCCGGAUCGUACUUAGGGAUUUGCCCGAACUUCCGGUAAAGGCAAGUAAAUACAGUGGUGGUUGCUACCGUUUGGUUUGCAUCCUAUUCCCUGUCAUUGAGUAUGCAUAAGUUUUAAUUAUGUUAAUCAUUGAAUUCUAUGAUGAAGUUUAUUUGUUUGGAAGUAUUAAUUCUCAAUUGUCUAAUAUUGUGGAUGAUCAUAAUUUGGUAAUGAUAUAUGUGGUUGAUUCCCAUCUGGAUGAAGUUGAAGUGUCUUUUUGAAUCAUGUUAUACGAAGUGUUGUAGGCAUGACAUGCACAUCACAUCAUCCAUCUUGCAUUUUGAAGUUAUGUCGUGAUCUUAUGGUCCGACCGUACCGGUACAUUUUUAGCAUCGUACGUUGCCCGAGGAGGGGUACGAUGCGGCUUCAUAUCCUUAGAGGUAUGAAGGCAGAAGUCAUCCUUGCAUUUGCAGACAUUUGCACUCAUGAGGAAUAUAUGAAGUGUGACUUUACUAUGUUACUAUUGUGGUUUCUACCUGCGAGGUGUGGUAACUAGGUGCGUUGUACGUUGUAUACGUGCUGCACCUUCGUAAUAAGAAGGUUGUGGAAUCAAGUGGUGGUAAAACAAUGUUCUUAUGUGGUUAAACUGUUUGAUAUUAUUUUACUUGCUGAGAUGUGUCAUCUCACUCUUGCAUUACUCAAUGCAGGUACAUGAUACAUGUUGGGAAUGAGGGGAGUAGCAGCACGUCCACUUUCACUCUCACAAUAACGCUGCCCAGGCACAGCCAUGAUUUAAUUAGAAACAUAUUGUCAAAGGAAGUUUGUUUAUUUUUUUAUAUGGUCGUGCGCACUGGUUAAUUCAGUUCAGGUCGUAUGUUUAUCUUUCCUUGCUAGCCGAGUAAUAAUACUUAGUAUGUUUUAGUCAUGAUAUAUGUUUAUACUCUGUUGCUCCCUCUUUUAUGCAAUCUUGCAAAGGGGAUGCUGCCGAAAUUUUAUAUAUGGACGUCGGAAGUGUAGUACAGUAGCAUUCCGGGUUGUUUGUGGAACCUGGAGUGUUACAGUUGGUAUCAGAGGAUAGGCUUUAGAUUCUACGCAAUUUGAAGAUAAAUUUGACACACUUGCACAUAUAGGAAGGGUAUGGGUUCAUAUAUUUUUCAUAUUAGUAUUUUAUUGUAUAGAUGACUAGAAUUUCCUUACUCCAAACCCCUUUAUGGUUUGAUGAGGUAUGUCGUUAACGACGUAAUGCUUGAUAUGAAAUGUUACUUCUAUUUAAUAUUGGUUUCUUGAUGUGGUUGUUAUUGAAAUUAUUAUGCGAGUGAAGCUACUAAUGUACUUAUUUUAUAUACAUAUCGUCAUGAUGUUUUUUGGGAUGCAAUGUUUACUAAUCUCUGAGCUAUUACCAUCAUAUAUUUCUAUAUGCUUGACUGUGGAUGUUUUUUUCCAAAAGGAUUCUUGGGUUCUAGUACUUGUAGGACCGAUUGUUUAUUGAGCUUGUGUAUAGAGGAUCUAAUCCGACUUGGUGUAGUGUGAAAACACUAUACAAUGAAGUUUUAUGGUGUUGUUGAGUUUGACUGACUGUUGGGUUACAACCCAACUUAUCAAUGUAAUAAUUCCAUGGGUGCAGUGCUUUACACCUCACCUUUUUUUUCGGCUAGUGUGGCUACUUGCCAACUUGAUCUUAGAGUACAAUAGGUUUGUCUCCAUAGAGCAAAGGCAAUGUUGUACUGCCUAUGAAAUCUUGAGACUAGAAGAACUCAAGUGAAUUUGCAAGAUGACGUGGGUAGAUAAGUCCAACCAUGUUUACAUGAUAGGUUUUCUUAUUGUGUGCAACCUUAUCUUUAAUAAUAAAUAGGGUGAUUUCAAGUGGAUUUUAUGGCUAUAUUAUAGUUGAAGAGGCAUGCAUGUUUUCCUUCUAUGGUUUGUUUCUAUAGCCAAAAAGGUUAUGCAUAAUUUUUAUUUGUUGGAGGCUAGUCAUGCGGACGAUAUGGACAACCCGUUUUAUAUUGUUUUUAAUCGCCGAUGAUACAUGGUAGUUUUUUUAUAUGAUCAGUUCUCUAUGCAUGCUUGUGGAAUUAUUAUUUGGACCGCUUUAUCUUAAACAAAGUCAAUGUUUAACUGGAAGUUGCUUAUGUUUGUUAGUCAUCUAUCUCUAUAAUGAUGUGGUUGUUGCAUUAGAUGGAGAUUUUUAUUAUAUGAAUGAUGGUUUGAUAGAUCAUGUAUGUCUACUACUUUGAAUUCAUCCUAUGACAUCACUAGGUACAAAUUGUUCAAGUGCAAUAAUAGGAGGUAUUGUUGUAUGUGAGGUUAAUCAAAGUAGUUGGGUUAGGUGGAUUAUCUUAUUGAAGUCCAAUUACUCCUGUUGAGCAUAGUAUCGUGUUAUUAUUUUAGUGUUGAAAGUAAUAUUUAUGAAGCUUUUGCAUGAGUCUGUGUCAAGAAGUACAUUAGUUUUUUCUUGUUGUUAUCCCUCCAUUGCUUUAUGAGUAUUGCAAAUUUUAUCUCUUUUGAGAGGGGGAAAAGAUGUUAUAUGACAUGAGCACCAUUUGCUUCACGUCAACAGAAUAGUUUUGGAGAUUUCUAGUAGUUGGAUUCUAGUGUAAUAACAACCAUGUUUUAUAGAGCUGGAGACGGGUAUGUCAGGUGUUUCAUACAUUGUCGGUACAUGGAUGUUUGACCUUAGUGGCAUUAACAAACGAGGUUGUUGAAUUCAUUGAUUGUUGUGCUUAGUGUUCUAACCUAUUUGGUAGAGUGUUAUUUAACGACUUUGUGGAGUUGCAUCCCAGUUUGGUAGUGGAAAAUCCUAGUGUUGAUGGCACCUGCCAAUGACUUGGGUUUCAUUUUAUAUUGUUUUUUUAUUGUUGAUAAUGUGUUGUUUGGUUUCGGGAGGCAUUUUAAAUUAGUUGGAGGCUGAAUCAGGCUUCACUUAUCUAGAAUGUUUUGUAGUAUGUUUCUGCAUCUUUCCAUAUGAUGCUUAAUCACCAUGUUUGGUCUAAACAUUUGAGAGAUAUGGGUUUCUUAAAACAUCUUUGUUGGUGUCUCUAGCAGAGUGAGUCUUUAAUUUUGUACGGAAGAGUAGACAUUGAAGACAGUAUAAUUUGGUCUUCGUGGAUUAUGAAAGUUUUAGUAAUUUCAUGAUCUUUUCAAAGAGUAUGGGUUUCUAAUUCUCAUUGCAUAUAAUUGGAGUUAGGUUGCUCUGAAGUUGUUGCACUGUUGUGUCUGAACUUUAGGCGUCGUUAUAAUCACCAAUAAAUCGACCGCGUUUUGAUAGUUGCAGAGCACAAAUUUGCGAAUUCUCUUUAAGCAAAACUUGUAGGUAUUUUCAGUACCUUUUUAAUGGGUAUUUACUUGUAACUGUCUGUUAAAUAGAUUUGGAGAGGUGGUUGCCCGGAUAUAAGUCGAAUCUCUAAUGUGCAGUAUCUCAGGCUGAGUUUAGCUGUAGGUCAUGCAGAGUUGUGGGCUAUAAGGAUAAAUUUGGGUGCAACUUUAUUGCAAAAGUCGCGGACAAAUUUCAAAACUUUUCCAACGCGUGUUCGUUGUAGUUUAAGUUGAGUAUAGCAGGAGUUAUAGGUUUUUGAAUUUUAGCUGUCCAUUGUUUCAAUCUUAUCAGUUUUGAAACAAAAGAGUUGCAUUGUUUUAUCGGUUUGGAAACCAAUUCCGAGACACUCAUUAUAAUAAAAGUUCUAGGGAAUGUUAUAAUCUUUUCAGUGAGUUUAUAUUUGCAAAAUUUUGUUAGCUGCAGGGAGUUAUGAUAUCAUGUAUAGAAUGUGCUUGGAUGAAUAUGUGGGCAGACAUAACAUGCUUAAAUUGAUUCUUGUUUGCAUGAUGUGAGAUUAGGCUUAAAUGAUUUAAAAAGUUAUCAUAUUGCUUCUAUACUUAUAUUUGUUCUAGGUGUCUCGUAAUGAAGAACCUAAAGUUAUUAGUCUUUCAAUGAACGCUUAAUCUUAGAAGAGUAAUGAACCUGAUAAAAUCUAUUGCUUGCUAUUGGGACUGCAUGACCAGUUUUAGUUAUACAGCUAGUUCAGUGAAGUAAACCAUCUUUUCUGUAGAGAUGUUAUAUAUAAAAGUUGUAGCCAACUUCUUUAUCUUACUUGUGUAAAAAUUUCAUGAUCAUAGGUCUAGUAGUUUGGGAGUUAUGAUUUUCUCAAGUCUAGUCUUGAAAUCUGUGCAGAUUCUAUACAGAUUUCGAAGCUGACCUUGUUUGCCUAAUUUAAACUUCGAAUAACUUAUUAUAAAUUAUAAAUAAGUUGUAGUACUUUUCUUAAUCGUUACAACAAAUUUUGGAUUUUUUUGGAGAUCUAUAAGUUAAGUUACAGCUGUUUUAAGUGUGAUCUCUGAAUCUGUCCAAAUUUGGACAGCAGAGCCUUUCUCGUGUCUUUUGACCUUAAUAUGCAUUGAAUUAACUUGAUAUGUUUAUAAAUGAAUUAUAGACAAUUCUACUAGCUUUCUAAAAAGUCUGGGAGCACCUGAAUUGGAUGAUUGAGACUCCAAUUAUGGAUUUUUGAAUUGAGUAAUUGAAUUAUGUCCAAGUCUGGACAGAAUUUACGUUUAGCACUGUUUGACCUUUCUAAGUGUCAAAUCUUGUUGUGAUGAUAAUACCAAGGGUAUAGUGGACUUUAUAAGUUUUCCAUAAAGUCCUAGUUUACUAAUUUUCGAUGCAUAUUUUUGUGAGUUAGGAGCAAAACAAUUAACUGCUGUGCUGUUAUCUAGAAAUAUGCAAGCAUUAAGUUGCUCUCUUGAAGUUGCUCUUGUGUGGCUAAGUUUGGUUUAGCCUAUAGGAACAUUAUAUGCCUUGCAUUCAUAUAUACAUUCCUUGAAGUACUUGCAUAUGUCAAUGAUUGAUUUGGUGUCAGGAAAGCUUGGUCCGAGGUAUAUAGGACCGUCUGCUAUCUUGGCCGAGUUGGCAGCUGGGCUUAGCACAUGUAAUUGUCGGAAUCUGUGAUCAGAGUACACCAAGUAUUCCAUGUCUUUUUGUUGAGGAAGUAUUUGCCGAAUCCAGACCAUCAAAUCGAGCUAGAGCCGAUUCCUGUGUAGCAAGAGCAGACUCUAGAGUGUCGUCUGCUGCGUAUCUUAGAAUCCUAGGAGCUUGAGGAGCUGAUGCGGCAGAAGUACUCGAACUUUUCUUUAUGUGUGAGUUUUGUUGAUUCAUUAACCUUUCUUUUGUUGUUCCGAUAGAAGCGUCAGAAUUCGAGGUCGAAUUCUUUUUAAGAGGGGUAGAGUGUGAUACCCGGUUUGCAAAGAAGAGAAGUUGGGGGUUGUUCUUUUUGUUUUUUUCCCUCAUCCGGUUGUUGUUUUGGGGAUUUGGGAUUUUGUGGAAAACAUUCACAACUAGGGCAGUAGAAUUUAUUUGGUUUGACGCUUGCGUUGCAGUUGGGAGCUGUCGCGUAGGUUAGUUGGGCCGCAAUUGGAGUUUCGGCCCAUUAACCCUCCCAAACCCUAGCCGCCUCCCUUCUAACCCCCUCCCCCCAUGUGCAGCCGCCCCCUCCCCCACUUCUCUCCCCCCUUGGCCGCCGCCCCCCUGCCCAUCUCCUCCUCUCUCAAUUCUUGCAGCCACCAAACCCUAGCCGCCCCCCCCUCUCAAUCCCCUCCUCCCAAGGUGCCAAUCCUUGCCGCUCGGAUCAUCGUCGUCGUGGUGCGAGUCUUCAAUCGUUUUGGUGGAGGGAAGAAGGGAGGAAGGAAAGGGGGAGAAUCCAAGGUGAUUUUUGUGUUCAUCCCUUGUUCAUUUGCGCUGCAAUUUAAUUGAUUAAAGGUUGCGUUUGCGAUUGGGUAGAGGGGGCUGUCCAGAAUUUUAGGUGGUGGGUGAACAGCAGUAGUCUAGCAGUUUCUGUGUUUUUUUCGUGAGGAAUUAAGGGAAAUCAGUUUGGGGAUCAUGUAGAACUUUACCUUACCUUUCCAACGAGUAUUUAUGCGCCCAAUUUGGAGUUAUAAAUUGAAAGUUAUCACCGUUUGAAUCCGGGUAUGUGGCUGUCCAAAAAAACAGAUUUUCAGGGGGGAUGAACAGCAGCAGUAUUAGCAGUUUCUGGGGAUUUUUUCGGGAGUAAUUAGUGUUAAUCAGUAUGAGAAUCAUGUAGGGCUUUAUGUUAUCUUUCCAACAAGUACUUAUGCGCUCGAUUCGGAGUUAUAAUUCAGGAGAUAUCGUUGUUUGAAUCCGGUUAUGUUGCUGUCCAAAAAAACAGAUUUUUCAGGUGGGUGAACAGCAGUGGUAUUAGCAGUUUCUGGGGAUUUUUUCGGGAGUAAUUAGUGUUAAUAAGUAUGAGAAUCAUAUAGGGCUUUAUGUUAUCUUUCCAACAAGUACUUAUGCGCUCGAUUCGGAGUUAUAAUUCAGGAGAUAUCGUUGUUUGAAUCCGGUUAUGUUGCUGUCCAAAAAAACAGAUUUUUCAGGUGGGUGAACAGCAGUGGUAUUAGCAGUUUCUGGGGAUUUUUCGUGGGUAAUUAGUGUUAACCAGUAUGGUAAUCAUGUAGGGAUUUGUCUUAUCUUUCCAAUGAGUACUUAUGCGCUUGAUUUGGAAUUAUAUUUUAAAAGAUAUCGCUGUUUGAAUCUGGGUAUGUCGCUGUCCAAAAGACAAAGAAAAACAGAUUACAGGGUUCAUCUUGUGGACUGUUUUGGACUAAUUAGAUAUUGGAAUUUAAUUAUAAAUUGUAUACAAAACUUGUGGGGAAUUUUAUGUAGAUGCCUCUGGAGUUUUUGUUUGUUACCACUGCUGUCAUAAUUUUAAAGUUAUGAAAUUAUUAAGCAGCGCCGCUGCAGUUUGGUGGGUGUAAGGAGAGAUGUAACCCGCGGCGGGGUUUGAGUUUGUGCGUAGAUGCGGCGUCGCUUAUGAGCCUGAUUAUGUGAUAUUGGUGUACUAAGUUAGGUGUCAAAAACAGGUGGUGGACUUCCGGAUCGUACUUAGGGAUUUGCCCGAACUUCCGGUAAAGGCAAGUAAAUACAGUGGUGGUUGCUACCGUUUGGUUUGCAUCCUAUUCCCUGUCAUUGAGUAUGCAUAAGUUUUAAUUAUGUUAAUCAUUGAAUUCUAUGAUGAAGUUUAUUUGUUUGGAAGUAUUAAUUCUCAAUUGUCUAAUAUUGUGGAUGAUCAUAAUUUGGUAAUGAUAUAUGUGGUUGAUUCCCAUCUGGAUGAAGUUGAAGUGUCUUUUUGAAUCAUGUUAUACGAAGUGUUGUAGGCAUGACAUGCACAUCACAUCAUCCAUCUUGCAUUUUGAAGUUAUGUCGUGAUCUUAUGGUCCGACCGUACCGGUACAUUUUUAGCAUCGUACGUUGCCCGAGGAGGGGUACGAUGCGGCUUCAUAUCCUUAGAGGUAUGAAGGCAGAAGUCAUCCUUGCAUUUGCAGACAUUUGCACUCAUGAGGAAUAUAUGAAGUGUGACUUUACUAUGUUACUAUUGUGGUUUCUACCUGCGAGGUGUGGUAACUAGGUGCGUUGUACGUUGUAUACGUGCUGCACCUUCGUAAUAAGAAGGUUGUGGAAUCAAGUGGUGGUAAAACAAUGUUCUUAUGUGGUUAAACUGUUUGAUAUUAUUUUACUUGCUGAGAUGUGUCAUCUCACUCUUGCAUUACUCAAUGCAGGUACAUGAUACAUGUUGGGAAUGAGGGGAGUAGCAGCACGUCCACUUUCACUCUCACAAUAACGCUGCCCAGGCACAGCCAUGAUUUAAUUAGAAACAUAUUGUCAAAGGAAGUUUGUUUAUUUUUUUAUAUGGUCGUGCGCACUGGUUAAUUCAGUUCAGGUCGUAUGUUUAUCUUUCCUUGCUAGCCGAGUAAUAAUACUUAGUAUGUUUUAGUCAUGAUAUAUGUUUAUACUCUGUUGCUCCCUCUUUUAUGCAAUCUUGCAAAGGGGAUGCUGCCGAAAUUUUAUAUAUGGACGUCGGAAGUGUAGUACAGUAGCAUUCCGGGUUGUUUGUGGAACCUGGAGUGUUACAAGGAUACAAAGAAUAUAAAGGGUAGAAAUUAUGAUUAAGCAAGAUUUGAACACACUAUCAUGAAAAGGGUCCUUAUAUGGCACAAAGGUAAUGGAGAAGUGUCAUAAGUGAUGUACCUUUGCGUUUUACCUUUUCAAAGGGGUGUU
RNAcentral lists this long non-coding RNA (9415 nucleotides) under Zea mays. RNAcentral's name for it is "long non-coding RNA (ZMAY_LNC003977)". The record is from RNAcentral. Lineage: Eukaryota; Viridiplantae; Streptophyta; Magnoliopsida; Poales; Poaceae.